CAGGACGCAUCUGCCAUUUUAAAAUGGAAUAAAAGCUCUCUGGAGAUGAUAUACCUUCUUUGGUGGUCAUCAGUGAACCUGCCGGCAUCUCCCUUCUCUCCCCUCCAGGCACAUGGUAAGGUUGCAUCUCCUUGCUCCCUUGAAAUGAGGAGUGGCCAUGUGACUGGUUCUGAACACAGGGUGUGGCCAACCUGACACGUGUGACAGUGGAGCUUGUGUGACUUGUCAGUGCUCCUUCCCUUGCUGGGGUGACCACUAAUGUUACAGAGGGUGAAGGCACCAUCGGUGGGGUCCGUGGGUGAGAGCGACAGGAGCAGGGUAUCUUGCCAAGCAGGGGUGGGCAGGGAGCAUCAGAAAGAAAUGAGCUGUGUUACUACGCUGAGCCACUGAGGUUUCACGGUUGUUAUCCAUCAUCCAGCCCGUCCUCACUAAUAUACCUGCCUCGUCAGGAAAAGAGAAUCCAGGUGAAGCAAGACUUGGCUUGUGCCCAUUCGGAUUGUCCGCCCGAUGCUUUGGUGUUGUGUUCAGCUGGGAUCUCCCCAUGAGCUGCAAGCUGUAUGGGCUUUCACAGACCAAGAGGCUUACAGUGGAAAGAGAGGAUGCCUGCAUCUAGAACCUUCUUCCCAUCUCUUUUCAAGGUC
Molecule: long non-coding RNA, 641 nt
Organism: Herpailurus yagouaroundi (jaguarundi)
Lineage: Eukaryota; Metazoa; Chordata; Mammalia; Carnivora; Felidae
Exons: 3
Source: RefSeq, a predicted model, not a curated record